AACGAACGCUGGCGGCAUGCCUAACACAUGCAAGUCGAACGAGACCUUCGGGUCUAGUGGCGCACGGGUGCGUAACGCGUGGGAACCUGCCCUUAGGUUCGGAAUAACUCCCCGAAAGGGGUGCUAAUACCGGAUAAUGUCUUCGGACCAAAGAUUUAUCGCCUUUGGUGGGGCCCGCGUUGGAUUAGCUAGUUGUUAGGGUAAAAGCCUACCAAGGCGACGAUCCAUAGCUGGUCUGAGAGGAUGAUCAGCCACACUGGGACUGAGACACGGCCCAGACUCCUACGGGAGGUAGCAGAGGGGAAUAGAGGAAAAUGGGCGAAAGCCUGAUGCAGCAAGGCCGCGUGAGUGAUGAAGGCCGUAGGGUUGUAAAGCUCUUUUACCCGGGAUGAUAAUGACAGUACCGGGAGAAUAAGCUCCGGCUAACUCCGUG
This 433-nucleotide ribosomal RNA is filed under the name uncultured bacterium. RNAcentral's name for it is "partial 16S ribosomal RNA". It matches the Rfam family "Bacterial small subunit ribosomal RNA", at positions 29 to 507 of the family's 1533-position model. The record is from RNAcentral.